Molecule: ribosomal RNA, 466 nt
Filed under: uncultured bacterium
Lineage: Bacteria
Description: partial 16S ribosomal RNA
Rfam family: Bacterial small subunit ribosomal RNA
Source: RNAcentral
GAUGAACGCUGGCGGCGUGCUUAACACAUGCAAGUCGAACGAUGAAGCCCAGCUUGCUGGGUGGAUUAGUGGCGAACGGGUGAGUAACACGUGAGUAACCUGCCCUUAACUCUGGGAUAAGCCUGGGAAACUGGGUCUAAUACCGGAUAGGAGCGUCCACCGCAUGGUGGGUGUUGGAAAGAUUUAUCGGUUUUGGAUGGACUCGCGGCCUAUCAGCUUGUUGGUGAGGUAAUGGCUCACCAAGGCGACGACGGGUAGCCGGCCUGAGAGGGUGACCGGCCACACUGGGACUGAGACACGGCCCAGACUCCUACGGGAGGCAGCAGUGGGGAAUAUUGCACAAUGGGCGCAAGCCUAAUGCAGCGACGCCGCGUGGGGGAUGAAGGCCUUCGGGUUGUAAACCUCUUUCAGUAGGGAAGAAGCGAAAGUGACGGUACCUGCAGAAGAAGCACCGGCUAACUACGUG